GCUGGUCCUUCAGGAGGUGACGGAGAAGCUGCGGAGGGUCAACCAGAGCCUGGAGCUGAUGCUGACGGCCUUGGAAGACGCACAAAUCCGUCUGGAAAAACACCUGGAGCACCUCAGAGCCAUCCCUGAGCUGGAUGGUGAGCGGGAAUGGGGGUGGAGGAUGGGUGGGAGCUGGUGGGUGCCACCACCAGGAUCUUCUUCCCCAUCCCACAGGUCAGAGCCAGAGUUCCACCUCCUCCUGCGUGCCAUACUUGACGCUCCUGGUUCUCCCACUGGUGCCGGCGUCGUUCCAGGCCAUCUUUCUCCUCCUCUUCCUCGCUUCCAGCGCCCUCGGCAUCUCAGCAAUCUCCACUUUCCUGGUCCUUGCUGCAGCAGGGCAUUGGCUGCUGGCUUCCGCCUGCCAUGGUGCCGGAAGGAUCCGGCCGGUGGUUCCCCGGGAAGAGCCCCGCUACCGGCUCACCUCCACCCCGGAGAGGGAAUGCGAUAUGGAGCUGCUGCAAGAGGAGCUGGACAAGAUGGAGAUGAGCUGCCUGCAAGAUGAGAGGUGCCCACAAGACCCUUCGCACCUGGAGCAGCCCCAAGAGGUGGCCGAGGACAUUCCCAGAUUCACAGGGCAGGUGUCACCCAACUCCGGUGGCCAGAGGACAGCACUGAACUCGUGUGGGGUGACACCGGAGCCGCUGAUGGAUGCUGGGAAGCUCUGGGAGACCAACCCCUGCAGCCCAAGGGCCA
Molecule: long non-coding RNA, 732 nt
Filed under: Lonchura striata (white-rumped munia)
Lineage: Eukaryota; Metazoa; Chordata; Aves; Passeriformes; Estrildidae
Description: domestica (Bengalese finch) lncRNA (ENSLSDG00000011753.1)
Source: RNAcentral